AGGGUUCGAUUAUGGCUCAGGAUGAACGCUAGCGGCAGGCCUAACACAUGCAAGUCGAGGGGUAACAGAGGGUGCUUGCACCUUGCUGACGACCGGCGCACGGGUGCGUAACGCGUAUGCAACCUACCUUCUACAGGGGGAUAGCCCAGAGAAAUUUGGAAUAAUACCCCAUACGAUCUUUACUUGGCAUCGAGUAAAGAAGAAAACUUUUGUGGUAGAAGAUGGGCAUGCGUCCUAUUAGUUAGUUGGUGAGGUAACGGCUCACCAAGACAUCGAUAGGUAGGGGCCCUGAGAGGGGGAUCCCCCACACUGGUACUGAGACGCGGACCAGACUCCUACGGGAGGCAGCAGUGAGGAAUAUUGGACAAUGGGGGCAACCCUGAUCCAGCCAUGCCGCGUGCAGGAAGACUGCCCUAUGGGUUGUAAACUGCUUUUAUACAGGAAGAAACUGCGCUACGUGUAGCGUACUGACGGUACUGUAAGAAUAAGGAUCGGCUAACUCCGUGCCAGCCGCCGCGGUAAUUC
Molecule: ribosomal RNA, 525 nt
Filed under: uncultured bacterium
Lineage: Bacteria
Description: bacterial SSU rRNA
Rfam family: Bacterial small subunit ribosomal RNA
Source: RNAcentral